Homo sapiens (human) is the source of this 494-nucleotide long non-coding RNA. RefSeq lists it as uncharacterized. The record is from RefSeq and is a predicted model, not a curated record. The transcript is spliced from 3 exons. NCBI's taxonomy places the organism in Eukaryota, Metazoa, Chordata, Mammalia, Primates, Hominidae.
UCCAUCAUGAAGCGCAGUUAUCAGUGUCUCAUUUCUUCAUACCCUUCCCAAGCCCAUUGAUAAUUUUCAGGAACAUAACAUGUUACUAUAGGAGAGCUUGGGAUCCAGCUGACUGAAUGUUUACAGAUGACUUGAUGAGACCCAAGAAUGUGGCCCUUAUGCCCGUGGAAGCUUUUAAUUGCCUCUUUUGGAAACUAGUUUUGAUUCUUCAUAAUCACGUCUGUUUGAGGACACAGACGAUCAAUGAUCCAUCCAGGAAAGAGCCUGCCCACUUGACUCUUCUACCUGUAGCCUCUCCAGAAUACUGGAUGUAAAAGGAGAUCUUCACGGGUUAAAAAAGUUAAGUAAAAACCUUGCGCCUAUGUGAAGGUAUUAUAUUGAUUUACAUAACACUGUAGAAGGUCUAUACAUGCUAAACCUCUUUUCAUUGUGACAUUCUUGGAGCCUGUUAUUCUUUUACUUCAGCUAUCUAAAGAAUGGAAUCGUGGAAUAGU